RNAcentral lists this ribosomal RNA (418 nucleotides) under Pardaliscidae sp. BOLD:ADF7487. RNAcentral describes it as "partial 16S ribosomal RNA". Lineage: Eukaryota; Metazoa; Arthropoda; Malacostraca; Amphipoda; Pardaliscidae. The record is from RNAcentral.
UAGCAAAAUCAUUUAUUUUUUAAUUGAAAAAGGGUAUGAAUGGUUAUACAAUACAAACAAAAAUUAUUUAGAGUAAAAAAAAAACUUUAAUUUUUAGUAAAAAUGCUAAAAUUUAUUAAAGGGACGAUAAGACCCUAAAAGUUUUAAUUAUUAAGUUAAAAUAAGUUUAAUUACUUCUAAUUAAAAUUUUAGCUGGGGAAGCUUUAAAUAAUAUUAUUUAUUUUAAUUAUAAAUUAUAAAGUUUAGUAAUCUUUUUAUAAGAAUUUAUAUAAAAUUACUUUAGGGAUAACAGCAUAAUAAAAUUGAAGAGUCCAUAUCUAUAUUUUUGAUUAUGACCUCGAUGUUGAAUUAAAAAAACUUUUUAAGGAAAAAUGUAAGUAAGUUUGGUUUGUUCAACCAUUAAAAUUUUACAUGAUUU